UCUGUAGGCGGUUGGGUAAGUUGGGCGUGAAAGCUCCGGGCUUAACCCGGAGAGGCCGUUCAAUACUGCCGAACUAGAGGGCGAGAGAGGGGAGCGGAAUUCCUGGUGUAGCGGUAAAAUGCGCAGAUAUCAGGAGGAACACCAGUGGCGUAGGCGGCUCCCUGGAUCGCAACUGACGCUGAGAGACGACAGCUAGGGGAGCAAACAGGAUUAGAUACCCUGGUAGUCC
RNAcentral lists this ribosomal RNA (229 nucleotides) under uncultured bacterium. RNAcentral's name for it is "partial 16S ribosomal RNA". It matches the Rfam family "Bacterial small subunit ribosomal RNA", at positions 568 to 796 of the family's 1533-position model. The record is from RNAcentral.